This 621-nucleotide ribosomal RNA is filed under the name uncultured bacterium. Its description in RNAcentral is "bacterial SSU rRNA". The stretch from base 1 to 523 matches the Rfam family "Bacterial small subunit ribosomal RNA", at positions 338 to 873 of the family's 1533-position model. The record is from RNAcentral.
CCUACGGGAGGCAGCAGUGAGGAAUAUUGGGCAAUGGGCGCAAGCCUGACCCAGCAACGCCGCGUGGAGGAAUGAAGGCCUUCGGGUUGUAAACUCCUUUUGCAGGGGAAGAGGAAGGACGGUACCCUGCGAAUAAGUCACGGCUAACUACGUGCCAGCAGCCGCGGUAAUACGUAGGUGACGAGCGUUAUCCGGAAUUACUGGGCGUAAAGCGCACGCAGGCGGCUGAAUAAGUCUGACGUGAAAUCUCUCGGCUUAACCGGGAGGGUCGUUGGAGACUGUUCGGCUUGAGGCGAUGAGAGGGGUGUAGAAUUCCCGGUGUAGUGGUGGAAUGCGUAGAUAUCGGGAGGAAUACCAGUGGCGAAAGCGGCACCCUGGCAUUAGCCUGACGCUCAUGUGCGAAAGCGUGGGUAGCAAACGGGAUUAGAUACCCCGGUAGUCCACGCUGUAAACGAUGAAUACUAGGUGUGGGUGGUAGUAGAAUACUAUCGUCGCGACGACAACGACGCUAAGUAUUACCGUCCGUCGGGAGGUACGGCCGGCCGACGGACGUAAAACGUUAAAACGUAAAGUAAGUAGACGUCGUAGAGUUAGCGACGACGACGACGACGGAGGAGGAGG